This 509-nucleotide ribosomal RNA is filed under the name uncultured archaeon. RNAcentral describes it as "bacterial SSU rRNA". It matches the Rfam family "Archaeal small subunit ribosomal RNA", at positions 346 to 859 of the family's 1478-position model. The record is from RNAcentral.
AACUUUGCAAUGCGGGAAACCGUGACAAGGGAACUCUGAGUGCCCGUAAAAUCGGGCUGUCCAUCGGUUUAAAUAACCGGUGAAGAAAGGGCCGGGCAAGACCGGUGCCAGCCGCCGCGGUAAUACCGGCGGCUCGAGUGGUGGCCACUAUUACUGGGCUUAAAGCGUUCGUAGCUGGUCUGUUAAGUCUCUGGGGAAAUCUUCCGGCUUAACCGGAAGGCGUCUCAGGGAUACUGGCAGACUAGGGACCGGGAGAGGUGAGAGGUACUCCAGGGGUAGGAGUGAAAUCCUGUAAUCCUUGGGGGACCACCUGUGGCGAAGGCGUCUCACCAGAACGGCUCCGACAGUGAGGGACGAAAGCUGGGGGAGCAAACCGGAUUAGAUACCCGGGUAGUCCCAGCUGUAAACGAUGCGCGUUAGGUGUAUCGGUGACCACGAGUCACCGAGGUGCCGAAGAGAAAUCGUGAAACGUGCCGCCUGGGAAGUACGGUCGCAAGGCUGAAACUUAA